ACAAGUACCGUGAGGGAAAGUUGCAAAGCAUUUUGAAGAGAGAGUUAAAGAGGACGUGAAACCGAUGAGGUGGAAACGGACAGAGCUGGCGUAUCUGGCCUGUAUUCAGCCGCUCGUUGUCGGCCCACCGUUGCUGCACUCCCCAUUGGGAAAGCGGCGUGGGCGCUGGCUGCGUGUGGUGCAUUUGCAUGUGGAGUGCGCCCAGGCGCUCGGCUCAGCGGCCUGAACUCACCUUUGAGGCCAACCGUGCAAACGGUCUGGUACCCGGGCUGGGGGAGUGUUGUUUGGGCUGGGUGUUUGCUUUUGGCUGUGGUUUCGGGCUUGGUUGGGUGCCGCGCUGGGUGUCGGUGUGGGUCGCUUGCGACACGUAUCGGCACACAGUUCGGUCCCGCUCCAACUCUCACUGUGGCCUAUCCUCGGCGUAAAAGCUGGUCAUCUUUCCGACCCGUCUUGAAACACGGACCAAGGAGUUUAUCGUGUGCGCGAGUCAUUGGGCGUUCAAAACCCAAAGGCGCAAUGAAAGUGAACGUAUCCCCUAGGCAGCCAACAUGCGAUCCUGGUCACCACGGUGGCCGGGCGCACCAUGGCCCCCUCCCCACUGCUUGCAGUGGGGUGGAGGAAGAACGUACACGGUGAGACCCCAAAGAUGGGGAAAUAUUUCCGAGCAAGAUGAACCCCGAGGAAACUCUGGUGGAAAUCCCAAACGAAUCUGACGUGCAUCCCUAUCGUCUGACUUGGGUAUGGGGGCAAAAGACUAAUCGAACCAUCUAGUAGCUGGUUCCUUCCGA
This 788-nucleotide ribosomal RNA is filed under the name Helicotylenchus multicinctus. RNAcentral's name for it is "LSU rRNA". It matches the Rfam family "Eukaryotic large subunit ribosomal RNA", at positions 344 to 964 of the family's 3401-position model. The record is from RNAcentral. Lineage: Eukaryota; Metazoa; Nematoda; Chromadorea; Rhabditida; Hoplolaimidae.